Drosophila hydei is the source of this 1061-nucleotide long non-coding RNA. RefSeq lists it as uncharacterized. The record is from RefSeq and is a predicted model, not a curated record. NCBI's taxonomy places the organism in Eukaryota, Metazoa, Arthropoda, Insecta, Diptera, Drosophilidae. The transcript has 4 exons.
GUCACCGGGACAUCUGGACAUCUCCUCUCCACUGCAUUCUUUUACAUAUACACAGAUUGGAUAAAUGAAAUAUAACAUCCAAUAACUAGGCUGGACAAAUAGCUAUGCAUCUGUAUACUUUUAAAGAAUUGUAAGAGGCAUCUGAAAAAUGGCUUAUUACUGCAGAUGCUCUCUACGAAUAUCUGCACAAAAUUUGCCAGGAUUAGUAGAAAACCUUGCGAACUGAAGCGGAUCUGUUUUCGCACUCAGACACGAAUGGCGCUCAUGGCUAGCAACCACCUUGAGAGUAGCGAUAAGUCCAAUAGAGUUUUGGGUUCGGCGCUAAUGGAAUACUACGGCACACCCAACGCACAUGAUUUGAAACAGAUAAGCCAUGCAGAGAAGAAGUUAGUAACGUCCAUAUAUUAACAGACAUAUUGCAAUUAACACAUCUACACAAAAUCAAUAAAAUCUGUUAACAAAUUUGCUAAGGUAAUAAGGAAGCACACCUUUUCGAAAUUGUCACAAGACCAAAAAUCCUAGUAUACACAACUUGGGCAACUAAAAGUUAAACAAAAUCUAAACUGAGCAGUUUAAUAUUAUUGUGAAAGUUUUUGCAUUUGAUGGUUUGGCAUUAAUUCAUGGUUAUAUGAUAGAUUAGAGUUACGUUUGCCCGCGAAAAGGUUCGAGUCUUCCUCAACCAGAGUAUUAUGGCCGACUGGGACAAAUAGAUCUUGACUCAAGCCCAAGCCCAAACCCAUCCUUUUUUUGGUAUCAUCAUCAUUAUCUUUAGACCAUCUCCUUUUUAGCUUUUUCAAUAGAAUCAUUAUAUCAAGUUUAUUUAAAAGUUUUUAUAAAUCAUCAAUAAAACAAGGUUUAAAAAUCACUAAAAUCACACUGUCUAUCGAGCUAUUACGAAAACUUUAUCAGCUGACUUUGCUAUCGACUCCUGUUUACAGCGGGGCCAACGCGAGUAAAUUUAAUUUCCACUUUCUGUUUUUUUACACCCUGUUGCCAUACAUAUAACUGAAAAAGUAUAUGGAUUUGUUAGGCUCAUUAGUCAAACACUAAAUGUUAUAUUA